Linepithema humile (Argentine ant) is the source of this 2944-nucleotide long non-coding RNA. RefSeq lists it as uncharacterized. Lineage: Eukaryota; Metazoa; Arthropoda; Insecta; Hymenoptera; Formicidae. The record is from RefSeq and is a predicted model, not a curated record.
CAGUUAAACGCGAGCAUUAUAUUCCUCGUAACAUCGGCCGUGUUGUCGUAUGCCGGACGCUCUAUUCCGCCGCCAACGUCGCCGUCGCCGCCGUCGUUGUUGCUGUCGCUCCGCCGUCGCACGCGUGCCACCUCGCUCUCCUCGAGCGUCGCAUGUUGUGUCAAUAAGUCUGCCAAAGAGCUCCGUGUCACGGGACGAGGCUGGUGCAACUUCGGAGGGGCACGUAGGGAUUACGUAGUAUAAUAUCGCGCGCGUCGUCGUCGCUGUCCUCGUGUUCGUACGUGCGUGUCUGCCUGCCCGCCUGCGUGAUCGCCUGUCUGCUUGCUUGCCUGCUGCGUGCGUGCGUGCGUGCGCGCGCGCGCGUUUACACGCGUCAAGCAGGUUAUAGUCCGUGUUCGGGGUCGAAAAUGAGUAGUAUAACGUUCGCGUUAUGACAACGAGACGUCGCGUUCAGCGAAAAAUUAUUCCUUUUAUCGGGGUCGCUCGUCGUUGUGACUUCGGUUUACAGAUUUCGCGUCUAGCUGGCUGCUUGGCUGGCUCCGUUGCUUGUUGGAGGGCGUUCUUUCGUGGCGCGGCAAGCGUCGGUUCGGCGUCGCUCGGUCGUUUUCGCCGAGCCUCGACCGUAUGCCAGCGAAUCGUUCCCAAAAGCCUGCUGACUCUCUGUCUCGGGAACUCUAUCGAAGCCGAUAUUCUCAUAGCUAGAUUAUGUUGAAAUAUUAUUCUGUCGCAUAGGUUGAGUUUCGAUGAAAAAUAAAAAAACCCUAAACCUUCUUUUGUGUCUGCGUCUUCUUUUACGCGAUGUUUACCCUUGAAUCUAGUUUCAAGAUCGUAAAUGUCUAGCAGCAUGAAGUUGACUUCAUCGUUCCGAAUCCAUUGCGAUUCAUCGAACGUACACACACACGCAGAUCGUCUGUGUCGCAUGUUUCAGUUCGUACUCACACACAUAUGCGACGUUCGCGGCGCGGUAAGCGGUCGGCGAGCGUCGUGGCUACUUCGGCACUUUUCGAUCGGCGAAUUCAUGUGCCCCAGUAAAACCUAGGCACUGAGACUCUAUACGAUUUCGCCGUGUUCUACACAAAAUAAACGUUGCUCAUAUUCCAAUAAAUCUUUCUAAAAAAAUAUACAAUGCCAUUUAAACUGGAGUAUCAAUAAAGAUUCACAUAUGCAUAUAAAUAAAAUGCAGCGAAUCUAAAAGCUAAUAAUAAAGGUGAUCCCGAAUAGUCUCACGUUUAAUUGAUCCAAACUAGCAUGAAUCGAAAACGCUGUUUGAUUCAUACAACAAUCUAUUGUCAGCGAAGUCGCGGCGUCCACGAACGUGUUUACGUUAUCGGAUGACUGAAGUUUAAUCCGUUCGAUACACGCGCUGAACUUGAGCGAUACGCGACGUGAGUGUGUUAGAGAGGUCCGAUCGGUAUCUCUCUCGGGCCAGUCAAACACAGCACGGAGAUGUGCGUGAAUGAAAACGUAAAUAACAUGGGCGCGCGAACCGCACGUAUUUACCCAUGUUCUCGAGAGAGUGCAAGAUCGCGCGGAUUACAUAAUAUUAUUUUUAUCUGCCGGCAAUGUUAUUAUCCCGCCGAUUGCGACAAUAAAUGGAGUCCGAGGUUCAUUCAACUCCGGAAUCUAUCAGGAGAGAAAGAGAGAGAGAAGAGAAAGUGUGUAGCGAAGAGCCAAUUAUCGUAUGCGAUAAAUUUGCCGAUUCCAGUUUGAGAUUCUUAUCUUUAUUCCGUGACGUGUAAAAGAUUCUUCUUUUAUUUAUGACAGGAAAUUGAACCCAGGCCGAGAUAACAACGGCAUCGAUACGCGGUAUCGUUCGCGGGACGAGAUCACCUGUAGCAGACUAAAUACCAUGUGUUCCCAUCAGACGUGUUUACAUUGGACCGUCUGCUACUAUUCGUUUACGAUUACUUAGUUCCGUGUAGCCGCGUGCGCCUCCACGUACUCGCAGGUCGUUCUCUCGCUGCCGAUACAUCGACGUUUAUUGACCGUAUACCGUAUACCGCGUGACCGUACGUAAAGUCCCUUUUUACCGUUCAUAGUUCGUUUGUACUAUCGCGAGAAUCUAUGCGAAUAUUUCUCGCUAUUACUUCCUCAAGAGCCUACAAUUUAACGCUCCGCCCUUUUCUAAUUCCAGCAAUUUCGUAAUUCGAAAAUGAGAGAAAGAAAAUCGUGCAAUUUUUCCGUUAUACGAUCGUAAUUCAAACUCCAAAUUUUCCAUUCUUGAAAAAUAUAUGUAAUAACUUUAUUCUCAUCCCAGUUUACCUAAUAAAGAACAAAAUUGUGAUUAAAAAUUGACGACUUUCGUGAAAUUUGUAAAAAACUUUCCAGCAUUUGAUAUUUUACAAAUUAAUGUCAAAAUUAAUUGCGAAACAGAUUGUUCCCCUUGCGGCUUCCUUAUUAUUUUGCAACGCAGUAAAUCAACGUGAGAGAGCAUAGAAUAACAUGGCGGGUUUCGCCGUGCAACGGCACCGAGAGCGCAUGUACUCCGCGAACGAUUCGUGCGGUUAACUUAAAGAUCGCGAGCAUUGCCGCCGUCGGUGGCCGAGCCAACGUGCCCGACGGUAUCCUAUUCCCCUUGGGCAUGGCGCAUCUCGCGGGACAUUAUCUCGAGUAGGAGAGUAUCUCGAGGUGGAGAGAAGCUGGGACCCGCUCGAUGCCGCAACGACGGCGUCCGGAAGCUCCGGAGUACGGGCGUGGUAAAUCCUGCAAAUAAUCCCGGCGUCGCGCCGCGAGCUCCUCGCGUUCAUAUCCGGAUCCAUGUUCUUUCGUUCGUACGUUCCGUGGAAAAUUCACGUAGCAGUACAUUUCGAUUGCGUUUCGACGCCUCGAAGCCGCGCCGUGGGAGCGCAAGAAGUUCGAUAGCGUGUCGCAGAGUGACAGUCGCAUGAUCCGGCGAACCGAAUAUAGCCGAGCGCGACACAAAACGUCACGUCGUGCACCGAGA